UACAGAGGGGGCAAGCGUUGUUCGGAAUUACUGGGCGUAAAGCGUGCGCAGGCGGCGGCUCAAGUCAGGUGUGAAAUCCCCGGGCUUAACCUGGGAAUUGCGCUUGAAACUAGGUCGCUAGAGUGUGGCAGAGGGGGGUGGAAUUCCACGUGUAGCAGUGAAAUGCGUAGAGAUGUGGAGGAACACCGAUGGCGAAGGCAGCCCCCUGGGUCAACACUGACGCUCAGGCACGAAAGCGUGGGGAGCAAACAGG
RNAcentral lists this ribosomal RNA (253 nucleotides) under uncultured bacterium. Its description in RNAcentral is "partial 16S ribosomal RNA". It matches the Rfam family "Bacterial small subunit ribosomal RNA", at positions 524 to 776 of the family's 1533-position model. The record is from RNAcentral.